AAUAUUGCGCAAUGGGGGGAACCCUGACGCAGCAACGCCGCGUGAGUGAAGAAGGCCUUCGGGUCGUAAAGCUCUGUCAUUGGGGAAGAAGUCUUAUAUGUGAAUAGCGUAUAAGAUGACGGUACCCAAGGAGGAAGCCACGGCUAACUACGUGCCAGCAGCCGCGGUAAUACGUAGGUGGCGAGCGUUGUCCGGAAUUACUGGGCGUAAAGGGCGUGUAGGUGGUCAAACAAGUCAGGUGUGAAACCCUGGGGCUCAACCCCAGGCAUGCAUUUGAAACUGUAUGACUUGAGGGCAAGAGAGGAAAGUGGAAUUCCUAGUGUAGCGGUGAAAUGCGUAGAUAUUAGGAGGAACACCAGUGGCGAAGGCGACUUUCUGGAUUGACCCUGACACUGAGGCGCGAAAGCGUGGGGAGCAAAC
RNAcentral lists this ribosomal RNA (420 nucleotides) under uncultured bacterium. RNAcentral's name for it is "partial 16S ribosomal RNA". It matches the Rfam family "Bacterial small subunit ribosomal RNA", at positions 360 to 773 of the family's 1533-position model. The record is from RNAcentral.